UACGGAGGGUGCAAGCGUUGUUCGGAAUCAUUGGGCGUAAAGCGCACGUAGGUGGGCUUGUAAGUAGAUUGUGAAAUCCCUGGGCUUAACCCCGGACGUGCUGUCUAAACUGCAAGUCUUGAAUGUUCGAGAGGAUGGUGGAAUUCCUGGAGUAGUAGUGAAAUACGUAGAUAUCAGGAGGAACACCGGAGGCGAAGGCGGCCAUCUGGCGAACUAUUGACACUAAGGUGCGAAAGCGUGGGUAGCAAACAGG
This 253-nucleotide ribosomal RNA is filed under the name uncultured bacterium. RNAcentral's name for it is "partial 16S ribosomal RNA". It matches the Rfam family "Bacterial small subunit ribosomal RNA", at positions 524 to 776 of the family's 1533-position model. The record is from RNAcentral.